RNAcentral lists this ribosomal RNA (468 nucleotides) under uncultured bacterium. RNAcentral describes it as "partial 16S ribosomal RNA". It matches the Rfam family "Bacterial small subunit ribosomal RNA", at positions 28 to 507 of the family's 1533-position model. The record is from RNAcentral.
GACGAACGCUGGCGGCGUGCUUAACACAUGCCAGUCGAACGGAAAGGCCCUGCUUUUGUGGGGUGCUCGAGUGGCGCACGGGUGAGUAACACGUGAGUAACCUGCCCUUGACUUUGGGAUAACUUCAGGAAACUGGGGCUAAUACCGGAUAGGAGCUCCUGCUGCAUGGGGGGGGUUGGAAAGUUUCGGCGGUUGGGGAUGGACUCGAGGCUUAUCAGCUUGUUGGUGGGGUAGUGGCUUACCAAGGCUUUGACGGGUAGCCGGCCUGAGAGGGUGACCGGCCACAUUGGGACUGAGAGACGGCCCAGACUCGUACGGGAGGGAGCAGUGGGGAAUCUUGCACAAUGGGCGGAAGCCUGAUGCAGCAACGCCGCGUGCGGGAUGACGGCCUUCGGGUUGUAAACCGCUUUCGCCUGUGACGAAGCGUGAGUGACGGUAAUGGGUAAAGAAGCACCGGCUAACUACGUG